UGGCCCGGGGCGGGUUUGGGGCUGUGCUUUGUGACUCAGCGCUGGUUCACUUCUCUGCACUGGGGUGUGGUGGGGGUGAUCCUGCUUUUAGUCAAAGCAGCUACAAAACUCCGAGAGCAAGUCAGCUGUUUUCUACGUCUGGAAGCUGGCCGGGCUCCUUCUCAGAUUUAUCGAAGGCAGGCAGCCGCUGACCCCUCCCUUUGCUAUUGGAGGUGAGGAGACGGAAGGGGACACGGGCCCUGGGAACUCGCCCCUGCUGAGUCACUCUACCUUUGGCAGCCUGAAGUUCGGGCUCCUGGCCCAGCAUUGCAGGACCCCCACUGUAGGGAUGGACCCCAGGCUCAGAACCCUCAUCUGGUCAGGGCUCUGCCGCUGCCUGGAACCAACACACAGACCUUCCAUUCCCUCCCUUGACUCAGGUCUCAGGCCAGGGCAAAAGUAAGGGGCACAGUGGGGAGAAAACCUGUGGAGGUGCCUGCUUGGUGCAAGCUCAGGCAGAGGCUCUUGACGGGACACUUCCCCUUUAACUGACUCAUCACUCCCAGCUUCCAGGCUGCAUCAUGGCCGUUAUGCAGAGAAGUCAACCAAGUCGCAGAGAGUUCAUUGACGGGACAGAGCCUCGCAGGAGAACAGAUUCAAUCCAGAACUCAGAUCCAAUGACUCCACACCACGUGCGCAAGUGCAGACACACACACACACACACACACACACAGCCUGCCUGUGCUGCUGAGGGUGCAAUAAGGACCAAGAGAAAGAGUAGCCAAGGGAAGAGGGACAGGCCUUUGUUGGGACAGUCCUGGUGGCAAAGGGCAUUUUGGCUGAGAAACCCCUAAAGUUAGAUUUGACCCCAUGACUGGGGUGGGGGGCACAAGCUUAUCUCAGAGCCGUCACCUCCCCUGCUCUGGGGUCUGGUUGAUCCGUGCAGGGACACAGCCCUGUGUGCUGAGAGGAAAGCUGGCCCUGUGUCGGGGGCGGGACAGGCACCCAAGGGCCCCGUGGCCCUCCCUUUUCUUCCCCAGGUGGCUGCCCCCCCCAGAGGCGCUCCUGCCACCUGCCCCUCCGAGAGGGACGUCUCCAGCCACUUGUCCACAGCCUCAGGAGUAUCCACAGCCUCAGGAGUCUCCACAGCAGAGACAGACGUGGGAGGAUGAUCCCUUUGCCCUAACUGGACACCCGGUGGGGCUCAGAGUUGAUGGGGUCACAGGGGAUCUGCCAGCUCAGGAAAGAAGAAGGCCGUGAGAACCAAAUCUCGGAGCCAUUCGCCACCAGGAAAUGCAAAUGAAAGCCACAGUGAGAUGCCACCACACGCCCACGGCUACAGUGACAAUCG
Molecule: long non-coding RNA, 1330 nt
Filed under: Piliocolobus tephrosceles (Ugandan red Colobus)
Lineage: Eukaryota; Metazoa; Chordata; Mammalia; Primates; Cercopithecidae
Description: lncRNA (ENSPTEG00000024564.1)
Source: RNAcentral